CUCACAGAGGGGGAUAACCCGUCGAAAGACGGACUAAUACCGCGUACACUCCAUCUUGGGCAUCCAAGGAGGAGGAAAUGAAUUUCGCUGUGAGAUAGGCAUGCGUCCCAUUAGCUUGUUGGUGAGGUAACGGCUCGCCAAGGCGACGAUGGGUAGGGGAACUGAGAGGUUGAACCCCCACACUGGUACUGAGACACGGACCAGACUCCUACGGGAGGCAGCAGUGAGGAAUAUUGGUCAAUGGGCGAGAGCCUGAACCAGCCAAGUCGCGUGAAGGAUGACUGUCUUAUGGAUUGUAAACUUCUUUUAUACGGGAAUAACAAGAGUCACGUGUGGCUCCCUGCAUGUACCGUAUGAAUAAGCAUCGGCUAACUCCGUGCCAGCAGCCGCGGUAAUACGGAGGAUGCGAGCGUUAUCCGGAUUUAUUGGGUUUAAAGGGUGCGUAGGCGGCCUGUUAAGUCAGCGGUGAAAUCUAGGAGCUUAACUCCUAAAUUGCCAUUGAAACUGGCGGGCUUGAGUGUACGCUGAGGUAGGCGGAAUGCGUGGUGUAGCGGUGGAAUGCAUAGAUAUCACGCAGAACUCCAAUUGCGAAGGCAGCUUACUAAGGUACAACUGACGCUGAAGCACGAAAGCGUGGGUAUCAAACAGGAUUAGAUAUCCUGGUAGUCCACGCAGUAAA
This 679-nucleotide ribosomal RNA is filed under the name uncultured Porphyromonadaceae bacterium. RNAcentral's name for it is "bacterial SSU rRNA". It matches the Rfam family "Bacterial small subunit ribosomal RNA", at positions 130 to 806 of the family's 1533-position model. The record is from RNAcentral. Lineage: Bacteria; Pseudomonadati; Bacteroidota; Bacteroidia; Bacteroidales; Porphyromonadaceae.